GAUGAACGCUGGCGGCGUGCCUAAUACAUGCAAGUCGAGCGAACGGACGAGAAGCUUGCUUCUCUGAUGUUAGCGGCGGACGGGUGAGUAACACGUGGAUAACCUACCUAUAAGGCUGGGAUAACUUCGGGAAACCGGAGCUAAUACCGGAUAAUAUUUUGAACCGCAUGGUUCAAAAGUGAAAGACGGUCUUGCUGUCACUUAUAGAUGGAUCCGCGCUGCAUUAGCUAGUUGGUAAGGUAACGGCUUACCAAGGCAACGAUGCAUAGCCGACCUGAGAGGGUGAUCGGCCACACUGGAACUGAGACACGGUCCAGACUCCUACGGGAGGCAGCAGUAGGGAAUCUUCCGCAAUGGGCGAAAGCCUGACGGAGCAACGCCGCGUGAGUGAUGAAGGUCUUCGGAUCGUAAAACUCUGUUAUUAGGGAAGAGCAUAUGUGUAAGUAACUGUGCACAUCUUGACGGUACCUAAUCAGAAAGCCACGGCUAACUACGUG
RNAcentral lists this ribosomal RNA (497 nucleotides) under uncultured bacterium. Its description in RNAcentral is "partial 16S ribosomal RNA". It matches the Rfam family "Bacterial small subunit ribosomal RNA", at positions 28 to 507 of the family's 1533-position model. The record is from RNAcentral.